CGCGUUAAUGAGUAGGAGGGCGUGAAGGUCGUGAAGAAGCUCGUGGCGUGAGCCUGAGUGA
Molecule: ribosomal RNA, 61 nt
Filed under: Phytophthora infestans T30-4
Lineage: Eukaryota; Oomycota; Peronosporomycetes; Peronosporales; Peronosporaceae
Description: 28S ribosomal RNA
Source: RNAcentral